UAGGGAAUCUUCGGCAAUGGACGGAAGUCUGACCGAGCAACGCCGCGUGAGUGAAGAAGGUUUUCGGAUCGUAAAGCUCUGUUGUAAGAGAAGAACGAGUGUGAGAGUGGAAAGUUCACACUGUGACGGUAUCUUACCAGAAAGGGACGGCUAACUACGUGCCAGCAGCCGCGGUAAUACGUAGGUCCCGAGCGUUGUCCGGAUUUAUUGGGCGUAAAGCGAGCGCAGGCGGUUAGAUAAGUCUGAAGUUAAAGGCUGUGGCUUAACCAUAGUACGCUUUGGAAACUGUUUAACUUGAGUGCAAGAGGGGAGAGUGGAAUUCCAUGUGUAGCGGUGAAAUGCGUAGAGAUGUGGAGGAAUACCGAAGGCGAAGGCAGCCCCUUGGGAAUGUACUGACGCUCAUGUGCGAAAGCGUGGGGAGCAAACAGGAUUAGAUACCCUGGUAGUCCACGCCGUAAACGAUGAGGUGCUAGGNGUUAGACCCUUUCCGGGGNUUAGUGCCGUAGCUAACGCAUUAAGCACUCCNCCUGGGGAGNACNANCGCNGGGUG
This 550-nucleotide ribosomal RNA is filed under the name uncultured bacterium. RNAcentral describes it as "bacterial SSU rRNA". It matches the Rfam family "Bacterial small subunit ribosomal RNA", at positions 355 to 895 of the family's 1533-position model. The record is from RNAcentral.